UAAACUAUUCUUUAAUAUUCCCCGGGGAAAUUUUUUGGACUGACGCAGUGCUCAGCUUUUGGACGUUGCGUCGGAAAGUUUCAUGAACCUUAUCACUUAGAGGAAGGAGAAGUCGUAACAAGGUUUCCGUAGGUGAACCUGCGGAAGGAUCAUUC
This 155-nucleotide ribosomal RNA is filed under the name Symbiodinium sp. ex Pavona decussata. RNAcentral describes it as "partial 18S ribosomal RNA". It matches the Rfam family "Eukaryotic small subunit ribosomal RNA", at positions 1686 to 1831 of the family's 1831-position model. Lineage: Eukaryota; Dinophyceae; Suessiales; Symbiodiniaceae. The record is from RNAcentral.